GCACGAAAGGCGCAACGAUCUGGGCACUGUCUCAACGAGAGACUCGGUGAAAUUAUAGUACCUGUGAAGAUGCAGGUUACCCGCGACAGGACGGAAAGACCCCGUGGAGCUUUACUGCAGCCUGAUAUUGAAUGUUGGUACAGCUUGUACAGGAUAGGUAGGAGCCUUGGAAACCGGAGCGCUAGCUUCGGUGGAGGCAUCGGUGGGAUACUACCCUGGCUGUAUUGACCUUCUAACCCGCUGCCCUUAUCGGGCAGGGAGACAGUGUCAGGUGGGCAGUUUGACUGGGGCGGUCGCCUCCUAAAAUGUAACGGAGGCGCCCAAAGGUUCCCUCAGAAUGGUUGGAAAUCAUUCGCAGAGUGUAAAGGCACAAGGGAGCUUGACUGCGAGACCUACAAGUCGAGCAGGGACGAAAGUCGGGCUUAGUGAUCCGGUGGUUCCGCAUGGAAGGGCCAUCGCUCAACGGAUAAAAGCUACCCCGGGGAUAACAGGCUUAUCUCCCCCAAGAGUCCACAUCGACGGGGAGGUUUGGCACCUCGAUGUCGGCUCAUCGCAUCCUGGGGCUGUAGUCGGUCCCAAGGGUUGGGCUGUUCGCCCAUUAAAGCGGUACGCGAGCUGGGUUCAGAACGUCGUGAGACAGUUCGGUCCCUAUCCGUCGCGGGCGCAGGAAAUUUGAGAGGAGCUGUCCUUAGUACGAGAGGACCGGGAUGGACGCACCGCUGGUGUACCAGUUGUUCUGCCAAGGGCAUCGCUGGGUAGCUAUGUGCGGACGGGAUAAGUGCUGAAAGCAUCUAAGCAUGAAGCCCCCCUCAAGAUGAGAUUUCCCAUUCCGCAAGGAAGUAAGAUCCCUGAAAGAUGAUCAGGUUGAUAGGUCUGAGGUGGAAGCGUGGUGACACGUGGAGCUGACAGAUACUAAUAGAUCGAGGACUUAACCUAUA
This 938-nucleotide ribosomal RNA is filed under the name Escherichia coli. Its description in RNAcentral is "partial 23S ribosomal RNA". It matches the Rfam family "Bacterial large subunit ribosomal RNA", at positions 1990 to 2925 of the family's 2925-position model. Lineage: Bacteria; Pseudomonadati; Pseudomonadota; Gammaproteobacteria; Enterobacterales; Enterobacteriaceae. The record is from RNAcentral.